This 324-nucleotide ribosomal RNA is filed under the name uncultured eukaryote. RNAcentral's name for it is "partial 18S ribosomal RNA". It matches the Rfam family "Eukaryotic small subunit ribosomal RNA", at positions 1470 to 1796 of the family's 1831-position model. The record is from RNAcentral.
CCCUUAGAUGUUCUGGGCCGCACGCGCGCUACACUGAUGCAUUCAACGAGUUUCUUCCUGGUCCGAGAGGAAUGGGUAACUUUUUGAAAGUGCAUCGUGAUAGGGAUAGACUAUUGCAAUUAUUGGUCUUCAACGAGGAAUUCCUAGUAGACGUAGUUCAUCAGACUGCAUCGAUUACGUCCCUGCCCUUUGUACACACCGCCCGUCGCUCCUACCGAUUGAAUGCUCAGGUGAGCCAUUCGGACUUUCAUCAUGCUGGUUUCCAGUUUUGAUGAAGGAAAGUCUUGCGAACCUUAUCAUUUAGAGGAAGGAGAAGUCGUAACA